CCGCCCGUCACAUCAUGAAAGCCGGUUGUACCCGAAGUCACUGUGUUAACUGCAAAGAGACAGGCGCCGAAGGUAUGGCUGGUGAUUGGGAUG
Molecule: ribosomal RNA, 93 nt
Filed under: uncultured bacterium
Lineage: Bacteria
Description: partial 16S ribosomal RNA
Rfam family: Bacterial small subunit ribosomal RNA
Source: RNAcentral